Molecule: ribosomal RNA, 1554 nt
Filed under: Staphylococcus aureus
Lineage: Bacteria; Bacillati; Bacillota; Bacilli; Caryophanales; Staphylococcaceae
Description: 16S ribosomal RNA
Rfam family: Bacterial small subunit ribosomal RNA
Source: RNAcentral
UUUAUGGAGAGUUUGAUCCUGGCUCAGGAUGAACGCUGGCGGCGUGCCUAAUACAUGCAAGUCGAGCGAACGGACGAGAAGCUUGCUUCUCUGAUGUUAGCGGCGGACGGGUGAGUAACACGUGGAUAACCUACCUAUAAGACUGGGAUAACUUCGGGAAACCGGAGCUAAUACCGGAUAAUAUUUUGAACCGCAUGGUUCAAAAGUGAAAGACGGUCUUGCUGUCACUUAUAGAUGGAUCCGCGCUGCAUUAGCUAGUUGGUAAGGUAACGGCUUACCAAGGCAACGAUGCAUAGCCGACCUGAGAGGGUGAUCGGCCACACUGGAACUGAGACACGGUCCAGACUCCUACGGGAGGCAGCAGUAGGGAAUCUUCCGCAAUGGGCGAAAGCCUGACGGAGCAACGCCGCGUGAGUGAUGAAGGUCUUCGGAUCGUAAAACUCUGUUAUUAGGGAAGAACAUAUGUGUAAGUAACUGUGCACAUCUUGACGGUACCUAAUCAGAAAGCCACGGCUAACUACGUGCCAGCAGCCGCGGUAAUACGUAGGUGGCAAGCGUUAUCCGGAAUUAUUGGGCGUAAAGCGCGCGUAGGCGGUUUUUUAAGUCUGAUGUGAAAGCCCACGGCUCAACCGUGGAGGGUCAUUGGAAACUGGAAAACUUGAGUGCAGAAGAGGAAAGUGGAAUUCCAUGUGUAGCGGUGAAAUGCGCAGAGAUAUGGAGGAACACCAGUGGCGAAGGCGACUUUCUGGUCUGUAACUGACGCUGAUGUGCGAAAGCGUGGGGAUCAAACAGGAUUAGAUACCCUGGUAGUCCACGCCGUAAACGAUGAGUGCUAAGUGUUAGGGGGUUUCCGCCCCUUAGUGCUGCAGCUAACGCAUUAAGCACUCCGCCUGGGGAGUACGACCGCAAGGUUGAAACUCAAAGGAAUUGACGGGGACCCGCACAAGCGGUGGAGCAUGUGGUUUAAUUCGAAGCAACGCGAAGAACCUUACCAAAUCUUGACAUCCUUUGACAACUCUAGAGAUAGAGCYUUCCCCUUCGGGGGACAAAGUGACAGGUGGUGCAUGGUUGUCGUCAGCUCGUGUCGUGAGAUGUUGGGUUAAGUCCCGCAACGAGCGCAACCCUUAAGCUUAGUUGCCAUCAUUAAGUUGGGCACUCUAAGUUGACUGCCGGUGACAAACCGGAGGAAGGUGGGGAUGACGUCAAAUCAUCAUGCCCCUUAUGAUUUGGGCUACACACGUGCUACAAUGGACAAUACAAAGGGCAGCGAAACCGYGAGGUCAAGCAAAUCCCAUAAAGUUGUUCUCAGUUCGGAUUGUAGUCUGCAACUCGACUACAUGAAGCUGGAAUCGCUAGUAAUCGUAGAUCAGCAUGCUACGGUGAAUACGUUCCCGGGUCUUGUACACACCGCCCGUCACACCACGAGAGUUUGUAACACCCGAAGCCGGUGGAGUAACCUUUUAGGAGCUAGCCGUCGAAGGUGGGACAAAUGAUUGGGGUGAAGUCGUAACAAGGUAGCCGUAUCGGAAGGUGCGGCUGGAUCACCUCCUUUCU